AGGAGGGGUAGCCGGGGGGCUCCAGGCGCCGGACUGCCCCCUGCCCGCGGGGCCGCCCGCCCGGGAGCGCAGGUGUCGCCCGCGGUGCUUCUGAGGGGGUCUGGCGGGACCCCCCUCACUGCCGGGGUCCUCUUCGCCCAGAUCCGGAGCUAGGAGGCCCCCAGGGCUGUGUGUUCGCUAAGGAGCACUCCAGGCCUCCCAGCUGCAGCGCGUUUUGCUGCAAAGCCUGAGAAGCACGUCUCCCACUUGCCAGGUGCAACUCACCUGCGGGCGGGCCUUCUGAGCAGGUCUGCGCCGUAGGGUCUGCACCCGGCAAUCUGGACUAAUUAGUGGCUUAACCUCUCUGAACCGACCUCACCUGUGAAUGGAGGUGGUCGUUAACAAAAAAAAGACAAGACAAAUUUUUGAGGGAUUAAUAUGUGCCACUUUGUGUUCUAAGUGCUUUGCAUAUAUUAAUUCAUUUACUCUCCGCAACAGCCAUGUUUUCGGCUUCAUUUUGCAGGCAGGGAACUGACUGAAAAAGAGGUUUAAGAAACUUGCUAGAGAUCACAUAACCGGUAACUGUCAGGCCUGCUUCUGAAAGUAUCAAGUUUGGAGACACUUGGCGCAGUGCCUGGCGUGUAGUAAUUGCUCAAUUUACAGAGAGUUGCAAGAAGACUACGAGAGUUCCUGUAUACCCUUUACAUGGCUUCCUUUAAGGUUAGCAUCUGAAGAAAACAUGGCACAAUGACCAAAAUUUUAAAAAUUAACAUCAAUUCAAUACUAUUUACUAAUUUAAGACCUCAAUCAAAUUUUGUAACCUAUUUUUCUCACGUACUUUUUCUGGCCCAGGAAGUCAUCCAGGAUCCACAUUGCAUCUAGUUUUUCUGUCCAAUUUCUUCUACAGUUGAUGACAGUUCCUCAGUCUCUGUCUUUUAUGACAUUGACAGAUGCUUUCAACUUCUUAAUGUGGGGUCUCUCUCAUUCACCUACUUCCUCAGACCACCCGGAACAGCACGUCACAUCAUAUAGAUACAGAUACAGAUGUAGAUACUGAAUGCAAACAUGAAUGCCAACUGGUAGGUAUUACACAGGAAUCUAUGGCACAGGUUUAAAAAUCCAUGGUUUUUCCCCUGGUCGCUGUCAGUCAAAGCGAGCAGUCAUGAUACUUGGCCUCACCUGCAAUCUGGUGAUGUUGCUGACUCAUCCUUAAAUGCAGGUGUGAUAAAGUCCUCCUGAUCCGCAUCCUUAAUAACUUUAAUCUCCAUCCACAACAUCUACAUCUAGGGGUGGGACAGAGCCUCCAAGCACCACAUCCCCCAAUAAAAAAUAAAAGCCCACAUAUCCAUCCUGGGGCCACAUCACUGUUCAUAAGGUGCCAAGGAUGCUCUUACUUUGGCUUUCUAAUCUCUGACCUCUGAGUUCCUUGGGGGCCCAGGAUGGCAUUUCUUUCAUCUUGGAAUCUCAGUGCCCAGUACAGUGGUGCCCGCCCCCAAGAAGGUGCUCAAUACCCAAAGGCUGAAUAGAUAAAGAAGUGGUUGAAUUUUAUCUCCAAGGCUGGGCUUUAUCUCUGACUGCCAAGCUUUGUGAUUCUAUGAAUAUCAGCUGAGGUUCAAAUUGGGCACCUCUCCCCAAAGUCAUACACUUACCUAUUAUUAUUCAACAGCAUCUACUCUGACAGCAUAGAAUGCCAGGCCCUGUACACGGUGCUGAGAAUGCAGACGCGGAUGAUACAGCUUCCACCCUCUCAGGGGAGAAGCCACACCUGUACACAAACAUAACUGAGGUGCCGUAGAGGCUGUAACAAGUGUCAUGAGCAGGCACGGGGAGGCAGAGAGCAGGGCAGGCUCAGCUUCACCUGGGGAGGUCAGGGCUGGCUCCUGAGGAGGAAACAGGGUCUCGGAGAAGGAGUAGGACUUCACCAGGGGAAGAACAAAAGCAACAGCACUCUGGGCAGGUGGAGCAACAUGUGAAAGUGAAGAGGGGACCUGAGAACUGUAGGCAGGUGUUUUGCCCUAAGUAGAGUGCAGGGUUUGCAGGCAGGGAUGGAAGAUGAGGCCGGAGAGGCGGGUGGGGUGAGAUCCUUAGACAGUGGAGAAUCCCCAAAGGGUCAUAAGCUGGAGGAGACAAGACCAGCUUUCCAGUGAGCAAGAUCAUUCUAGCUGCAGUGGACUGAAGGCUCGGGGGUCAGAUGCGAGACUGGAGGUGAGCACAGUGCUUUGGGAGGCUAAGGCUCCUGUCCCUGAAGGGCCUGAGCUCAGACAAUGGCGGUGGGAAAAAAGAGGAGGGGCUGUAAGCAGCUCCUUUGCCUGUUUUUUGUUUGUUCAUCCCUAUUUUCGUUAGACCUUAACCAUAAAGAUGAGAUCGUUAGGCAACAUUUAACUAAGUUCCUGAUUUCUGCUUUUCUAAACAUACACAAGGCCUUACCUAACCUGUUGAUUCCUUUCCUGGAUUAGAAGGAAUAAGAAUGAAGAAUUAAGUAGCUAAAGAAUGACUAAAAAAAAAAAAAAAAAAAAGAAUGACUGACUCUCUACCCCCAGCUUCCCCUUAGUAAAUUUGCAGGUGGACCACGAGGGCAAGAGAACUUCCAAUUGCAGACGGAUCACGUGAGCAAGACAGAGUCCCAAGGAAGAUGGGGAGAAAUCAGCAGGCCUGCAUGUAAUGGAAAGAUGACGGAGAAUCUGACCUCCUGCCUUAAUGAUUAACUGAGAUUGUUUCCCCUUUAAAAAUUGUCAUGGCUGAACAGAAUCUUUGGAGUUGGUCUCUAGAUACAAGUCCACUUUCUCCCCAGAUUGCCGGCUUUUCUGAAUAAAGCAUCUUUCUUCUCUGCGAA
Long non-coding RNA from Balaenoptera ricei (Rice's whale), 2812 nucleotides. RefSeq lists it as uncharacterized. The record is from RefSeq and is a predicted model, not a curated record. NCBI's taxonomy places the organism in Eukaryota, Metazoa, Chordata, Mammalia, Artiodactyla, Balaenopteridae. The transcript has 2 exons.